CUGAACAGUAAAGAUCAUUUACACCUCACACUGACAACAUGCUGUGGACCCUCUGCACUCUCAUCACUGCUCUAACAUGUGUGAGUGGUGUGACGGUGCUGACACAGAAACCUCCUGUUUUAUCAGUGAGGAAAGGAGAGACAGCCACCAUGGACUGUAACCUGGGGACUGUUACUGGCAGUGCUGCUCGGUGGUAUAAACAGAUUCCAGGAGGAGUUCCUCAGUUUGUGCUGAGGUUUUAUCAUAGCUCUAGUUCUCCAACCUAUGGCUCUGGGUUCUCUGCUCCAAAAUUCACAUCCACUCAUCAGUCAAGAUCAGAUUAUCGUUUGAUCAUCAACAAUGUGGAGGAGGGAGACUCUGCAGUCUAUUACUGUCAGACAUGGGACAGCUCUGCUGCUGUAUCACAGUGAUUCACACUGUGACAAAAACCUCCCUACUGAUACUUCUGCUUUUUGAUGCUCUUUUUUUCACAUGCUGACAAAAGACCCAUUCAACAGACUCAGUGUAAACCCACCACCUUCAAAUACUGUGUUUAUUGUUAUUUUUUAUUUUAAUGUUCAUCAAUGAAAACUCAACAACUUCAGACAGUCUAUUAAUAAACACUGAAUUUCUCUUUUUGAUACAUUUUAACUAU
Molecule: non-coding RNA, 634 nt
Organism: Haplochromis burtoni (Burton's mouthbrooder)
Lineage: Eukaryota; Metazoa; Chordata; Actinopteri; Cichliformes; Cichlidae
Source: the annotation of a RefSeq genome assembly